UACGAACCGUCCGAACGUUAUUCGGUAUCACUGGGCUUAAAGAGUUCGUAGGCGGCCCGACAGGUGAGGUGUGAAAUCCCUCGGCUCAACCGAGGAAUUGCGCUUCAAACCGUCAGGCUUGAGGGAGAUAGAGGUGAGCGGAACAGGUGGUGGAGCGGUGAAAUGCGUUGAUAUCAUCAGGAACACCGGUGGCGAAAGCGGCUCACUGGGUCUCUUCUGACGCUGAGGCACGAAAGCUAGGGGAGCGAACGGG
RNAcentral lists this unclassified non-coding RNA (253 nucleotides) under uncultured Pirellulaceae bacterium. Its description in RNAcentral is "contains 16S-23S intergenic spacer region". It matches the Rfam family "Bacterial small subunit ribosomal RNA", at positions 524 to 776 of the family's 1533-position model. Lineage: Bacteria; Pseudomonadati; Planctomycetota; Planctomycetia; Pirellulales; Pirellulaceae. The record is from RNAcentral.